UCGUAAUUGCCCAUCCGUCGGGACUGCAUGACUUUUCAUUCUGCCAUCCUCAGCUCUGCCAACUCGAUAUUUCAGGUACAGUUCAAAUCUAUGUAUUUAGUUUAGUCUAGCACUCCUUUGAGAAAGAAUCCUUUCUGCUGCCAACUUAAUUGAUAAGCCUUAAUCUGUUAAUUACUUUGUUGGCUCAGUUUACUGAAUUAAAUCGAAUCCUGUUUGAAACAGGCAAAUUACGUUGUUGUUACCUUGAACAACCUUGUACUUCACGCAGUCAGAAUGUCAAUCAACUUGAGGAAUAUCUCUGCAAUAUUGGAUUUAUUGUCAAUAAGAUUUUUGCGCAUGAUGCCAAGAAUGCACGUAGCACUGAAGACGAGACUUGGAAUUACAAACAAUUAGUUUCCAACUUAGCAAAUCUAAAUCUAAUUGUCAGAUUUAUGUCGGUUCGUUCCUGCCCCAACAAUUUUUUUUACAUCCUUUUAGGUACUCACUGGUACAUUUUAACAUGCGCACAUUUGUGAUUCAUUCUAAGUUGUCAAAUUUACAUAAUCUUUCAAGAAUAUCUUCUUAGCAAUUUUUGACGUUAUGUAUUUCUAAUGGUAAAAGGGGUUUAUUAAUCCCACAAAAACUGUGUGCCGCAUGUAUUGUACAUGUAUGCGGUAUGGUUCUGAUAAUCUCAGCUUUUAUUAUUACUUAUUUACGUUGUAAAAUUUCGGGUAAUAACUUGGCAAAUACGCCACGCUGCUCAAACUAGUUUUACCAUUUGCCAAUGAUGAAUAAAUGGGACCCUUUAUUUUAUUUAUUCAAGUAUUCAAUGCCAAGGUCAACGUAUGUAAACAAUAGUGACAUAAAACGGGAGAUAAUUUGCUAUCAAUCUCAGGAUGACUUACAAUUAACUGAAUGUAGAACAUGUAGAAUAUAGUUUGUAGUAUACACACAACAAAAAAUCAAGUAAUUUCGUCAUGUGGCGUAUCUAUUUUUGGAAGGUAUUCAUGUUCACACUUCCAGCAAAAAACAAAAUUUGACAAACUGCAAUGACUUUGAAGAAGUGCUGAAUAUUUUCACAAUGUAGUGUGAAAUUCCUGGUUUCCAGACUGCAAUAAAAUGCACUUCGAUGUUAUGCACUUGCUUAAGCAAUCCAUAGAGGAAAUAUGAUAUUUCUGUCCUACAAAACCUAAACUUUAAUCAACUAUGAAUUUAUACAUUCAGCACAUUUUAUGUACCCGCUUCGAUGCUAAAGUAUAUAUAUGGUAAUAAUAAUGCAGCGAAAUACUAUAUAAAAAUAUGUAGUAUAA
Folsomia candida is the source of this 1289-nucleotide long non-coding RNA. RefSeq lists it as uncharacterized. Lineage: Eukaryota; Metazoa; Arthropoda; Collembola; Entomobryomorpha; Isotomidae. The transcript has 3 exons. The record is from RefSeq and is a predicted model, not a curated record.